This is a long non-coding RNA of Rhodamnia argentea, 171 nucleotides long. RefSeq lists it as uncharacterized. NCBI's taxonomy places the organism in Eukaryota, Viridiplantae, Streptophyta, Magnoliopsida, Myrtales, Myrtaceae. The transcript has 3 exons. The record is from RefSeq and is a predicted model, not a curated record.
GGGUAAGAAGCUGAAAAUUAUACAGGAGGAGGAGAAGAAACACGUUGAUUAUCGCUAUAGAUUUGUAGGUAUAAACUCUGAGAGAACGCAUAUUGCUCAACGUGAAAAUGCAGCAGUAACGACAAGAUUCAACUGGCGAAGAGCAUGAAUCUCUAUAGGGAGACAAUCAUG